RNAcentral lists this ribosomal RNA (494 nucleotides) under uncultured bacterium. RNAcentral describes it as "partial 16S ribosomal RNA". It matches the Rfam family "Bacterial small subunit ribosomal RNA", at positions 28 to 507 of the family's 1533-position model. The record is from RNAcentral.
GACGAACGCUGGCGGCGUGCUUAACACAUGCAAGUCGAACGGAAAGGCCUGCUUUCCCUUGUGGAUUGCGGGUACUCGAGUGGCGAACGGGUGAGUAACACGUGAGUGAUCUGCCCCCAACUUGGGUAUAAGCCUGGGAAACUGGGUCUAAUUCCCGAUAGGACUGCAGGGUGGUGCCUGUGGUGGAAAACGAUUUUCUAGUGGUUGGGGAUGAGCACGCGGCCUAUCAGCUUGUUGGUGGGGUAAUGGCCUACCAAGGCGGCGACGGGUAGCCGGCCUGAGAGGGUGGACGGCCACAUUGGGACUGAGAUACGGCCCAGACGCCUACGGGAGGCAGCAGUGGGGAAUAUUGCACAAUGGGCGGAAGCCUGAUGCAGCGACGCCGCGUGGGGGAUGACGGCCUUCGGGUUGUAAACUCCUUGCGACCGCGAGGAAGCCACCUGGUUGGAAGGGUGGUGACGGUAGUGGUAGAAGAAGCACCGGCUAACUACGUG